AUUGAACGCUGGCGGCAGGCCUAACACAUGCAAGUCGAACGAGUGGCGGACGGGUGAGUAAUGUCUGGGAAUCUCCCUGAUGGGGGGGGAUAUCUACUGGACACGGGAUCUUAUCCCGCAUACUAUUGGAUGUCCCGAUAUGGUAUGAUCUUGUGUGUGGUGUAAAGGCUCACCUAGGCGACGAUCCCUAGCGGGUCUGAGAGGAUGACCAGCCACACGGGGACUGAGACACGGCCCAGACUCCUACGGGAGGCAGCAGUGGGGAAUAUUGCGCAAUGGGGGCAAGCCUGACGCAGCCAUGCCGCGUGUAUGAAGAAGGCCUUCGGGUUGUAAAGUACUUUCGGUAGGGAGGCGUUACCGACAGAAGAAGCACCGGCUAACUCCGUGCCAGCAGCCGCGGUAAUUC
Molecule: ribosomal RNA, 406 nt
Filed under: uncultured bacterium
Lineage: Bacteria
Description: partial 16S ribosomal RNA
Rfam family: Bacterial small subunit ribosomal RNA
Source: RNAcentral